This 468-nucleotide ribosomal RNA is filed under the name uncultured bacterium. Its description in RNAcentral is "partial 16S ribosomal RNA". It matches the Rfam family "Bacterial small subunit ribosomal RNA", at positions 28 to 507 of the family's 1533-position model. The record is from RNAcentral.
GACGAACGCUGGCGGCGUGCUUAACACAUGCCAGUCGAACGGAAAGGCCCUGCUUUUGUUGGGUACUCGAGUGGCGAACGGGUGAGUAACACGUGGGUAACCUGCCCUGUACUUUGGGAUAACUUCAGGAAACUGGGGCUAAUACCGGAUAGGAGCUCCUGCUGCAUGGUGGGGGUUGGAAAGUUUCGGCUGUUGGGGAUGGACGCGCGGCUUAUCAGCGUGUGGGUGGGGUAGGGGCUUACCAAGGCUUUGGCGGGUAGCCGGCGUGAGAGGGUGACGGGACAUAGUGGGAGUGAGACAGGGCCGAGACCCACGUGGGAGGCAGGAGUGGGGAAUAUGGCAAAAUGGGCGGAAGUGUGAUGCAGACACGCCGUGUGCGGGAUGACGGCCUGCGGGUUGUAAACCGCUUUCGCCUGUCACGAAGCGUGAGUGACGGUAACGGGUAAAGAAGCACCGGCUAACUACGUG